AUACGGAGGGUGCGAGCGUUGUUCGGAAUUAUUGGGCGUAAAGAGCAUGUAGGCGGUCUGUUAAGUCUGGUGUGAAAGCCCGGGGCUCAACCCCGGAAGUGCAUUGGAUACUGGCAGACUUGAGUAUGGGAGAGGAAAGCGGAAUUCCGAGUGUAGGAGUGAAAUCCGUAGAUAUUCGGAGGAACACCAGUGGCGAAGGCGGCUUUCUGGACCAAUACUGACGCUGAGAUGCGAAAGCGUGGGGAGCGAACAGGAUUAGAAACCCCUGUAGUCC
This 274-nucleotide ribosomal RNA is filed under the name uncultured bacterium. Its description in RNAcentral is "partial 16S ribosomal RNA". It matches the Rfam family "Bacterial small subunit ribosomal RNA", at positions 523 to 796 of the family's 1533-position model. The record is from RNAcentral.